This 506-nucleotide ribosomal RNA is filed under the name uncultured Glomeromycotina. Its description in RNAcentral is "partial small subunit ribosomal RNA". It matches the Rfam family "Eukaryotic small subunit ribosomal RNA", at positions 591 to 1092 of the family's 1831-position model. The record is from RNAcentral. Lineage: Eukaryota; Fungi; Glomeromycota.
CCAAUAGCGUAUAUUAAAGUUGUUGCAGUUAAAAAGCUCGUAGUUGAAUUUCGGGAUUGACACAUCGGUCGUGCCUUAAGGGGUAUGAACUGGUGUAGUCAAUUUCUCACCUUCUGGAGAACCACGAUGCCCUUAAUUGGGUGUCGCGGGGAACCAGGACCUUUACUUUGAAAAAAUUAGAGUGUUUAAAGCAGGCAUUUUGCUUGAAUACAUUAGCAUGGAAUAAUAAAAUAGGACGGCAUGAUUCUAUUUUGUUGGUUUCUAGGAUCACCGUAAUGAUUAAUAGGGAUAGUUGGGGGCAUUAGUAUUCAAUUGUCAGAGGUGAAAUUCUUGGAUUUAUUGAAGACUAACUACUGCGAAAGCAUUUGCCAAGGAUGUUUUCAUUAAUCAAGAACGAAAGUUAGGGGAUCGAAGACGAUCAGAUACCGUCGUAGUCUUAGCCAUAAACUAUGCCGACUAGGAAUCAGACGAUGUUAAUUUUUUAAUGACUCGUUUGGCACCUUACG